This 164-nucleotide ribosomal RNA is filed under the name uncultured bacterium. RNAcentral describes it as "partial 16S ribosomal RNA". It matches the Rfam family "Bacterial small subunit ribosomal RNA", at positions 355 to 511 of the family's 1533-position model. The record is from RNAcentral.
UAGGGAAUCUUCCACAAUGGACGCAAGUCUGAUGGAGCAACGCCGCGUGAGUGAAGAAGGGUUUCGGCUCGUAAAGCUCUGUUGUUAAAGAAGAACGUGGGUAAGAGUAACUGUUUACCCAGUGACGGUAUUUAACCAGAAGGCCACGGCUAACUACGUGCCAG